UUUUGUAAUUUGUAAAAGUUCAGCAGACAUUAAUGGCAACUAUUAUGCAACUUUUUCAGUAGAGAGCACAGGAUGGUCUAUUGGGAGCAUUUUCAAGUCUCCAGUCCCAGUGUUGAAGGUCCACUACACUCCUACCAGUGAUACGUUUGGUGCUGAUGCUGAGAUAAUGAAAAAGUUGAAGAAUAACUUAAAGUCAUCAGUGCAGUUUGAAAUAACAAGCAGGAAGAACUGCAGCAUCAUCAUCGUCUUCUGUCCAGUCAGCCGCAGUUUUGAAUCAGAAGUAAAGUUGGCCAUGGAAAAGGAAGCAGUCUCAUCGUCUGGUAAACCAGUCAUUCUGGUUCUGAUGCAUCACACCAGAGACCCGGACUAUCUCACUGCAGGAUGUGACGCCUCUGAAGUUCUGAAAAAUGUGUUUUAUGUCCAUAUUUUUUACCAUGAGACUG
Molecule: non-coding RNA, 443 nt
Organism: Poecilia reticulata (guppy)
Lineage: Eukaryota; Metazoa; Chordata; Actinopteri; Cyprinodontiformes; Poeciliidae
Source: RefSeq, a predicted model, not a curated record